RNAcentral lists this long non-coding RNA (402 nucleotides) under Trifolium pratense (red clover). Its description in RNAcentral is "long non-coding RNA (TPRA_LNC013267)". The record is from RNAcentral. Lineage: Eukaryota; Viridiplantae; Streptophyta; Magnoliopsida; Fabales; Fabaceae.
GGAGGAUUACUUUUUUAGGGUACCUAAUUUGCUUCAGUUGGUUUGGUAUCCAGCCUUGAUUGAUUCACAAUUUCCUUUCAUCUUUAUUGCAAAAAAAUGGAUUUCCCUAGAAUUGCAGGUAAUCUGGCUAAACAAAAUAUUGGAAAUUGCUUGGAUGCUUCGUCUUAUGGAGAACCGUACGUUUAGAGAGUCAACAAAAUAUCAUGUCAAGUUGGAAGAAUGAGCAAGAAAAUAUUGCAUUGAUUUUUCUAAUUUGUAUUUAUAUAUUAUGAGUAAACGAGCAAGCUCAAUGCAAGAAACCGGUAACAAACCUAGAAAUUGCUCCUUUUAAUGUUGAUAUUGUCGAUAAUCGGUUAUCUGACAUGGUAUCAGAACCUCUAUGAUCAAGUGGUCUAGAAUUCG